RNAcentral lists this ribosomal RNA (315 nucleotides) under uncultured eukaryote. Its description in RNAcentral is "partial 18S ribosomal RNA". It matches the Rfam family "Eukaryotic small subunit ribosomal RNA", at positions 1470 to 1796 of the family's 1831-position model. The record is from RNAcentral.
CCCUUAGAUGUUCUGGGCCGCACACGCGCUACACUGAAGGAGGCAGCGUGUACUCCUGGAUCGAAAGAUUUGGGUAACCCGCGAAUCUCCUUCGUGCUAGGGAUUGAGGUUUGCAACUAUUAGUCUUGAACGAGGAAUUCCUCGUAAGCAUGAGUCAUCAGCUUGUGCUGAUUACGUCCCUGCCCUUUGUACACACCGCCCGUCGCUCCUACCGAUUGGGUGCUCCGGUGAAUUGUUUGGACUGCGUAUUACGUAUCAGUGGUGUGCGGGAAGCUCUGUGAACCUUAGCACCUAGAGGAAGGAGAAGUCGUAACA